This 30-nucleotide non-coding RNA is filed under the name Homo sapiens (human). Lineage: Eukaryota; Metazoa; Chordata; Mammalia; Primates; Hominidae. The record is from RNAcentral.
UGGGCUCAUCUCAUGAGUGCACACUGCUUU